Molecule: ribosomal RNA, 460 nt
Filed under: uncultured bacterium
Lineage: Bacteria
Description: partial 16S ribosomal RNA
Rfam family: Bacterial small subunit ribosomal RNA
Source: RNAcentral
CCUACGGGAGGCAGCAGUGAGGAAUAUUGGUCAAUGGGCGGGAGCCUGAACCAGCCAAGUCGCGUGAGGGAAGACGGUCCUAUGGAUUGUAAACCUCUUUAGGCGGGGAGCAAUGCCGGGCACGUGUGCCCGGAGGGAGAGUACCCGCAGAAUAAGCAUCGGCUAACUCCGUGCCAGCAGCCGCGGUAAUACGGAGGAUGCGAGCGUUAUCCGGAUUUAUGGGGUUUAAAGGGUGCGUAGGCGGAUUUUUAAGUCAGCGGUAAAAUGUCCGGGCUCAAGCCGGGCCGGCCGUUGAAACUGGGGAUCUUGAGUGGGCGAGAAGUAUGCGGAAUGCGUGGUGUAGCGGUGAAAUGCAUAGAUAUCACGCAGAACUCCGAUUGCGAAGGCAGCAUACCGGCGCCCGACUGACGCUGAGGCACGAAAGCGUGGGGAUCGAACAGGAUUAGAUACCCGAGUAGUC